GAUGAACGCUGGCGGCGUGCUUAACACAUGCAAGUCGAACGAAAAGACGCCUGCUUGCAGGGGUACUCGAGUGCCGAACGGGUGAGUGAAACGUGUGGAUUCUGCCCUUCACUUCCGGGUAAACCUGGGGAACUGGGGCUAAUACCGGGUAGAACGAUGGUAUGGAUGCGAUUGUGGAGAGUAUUUCGGUGUGGGGUUAGCUCGCGGCCUAUCAGCCUGUUGGUGGGGUAAUGGCCUACCAAGCGGUCGACGGGUAGCCGGCCUGAGAGGGGGGACGGCCACAUUGGGACUGAGAGACGGACCAGACGCCUACGGUAGGCAGCAGUGGGGAAUAUGGCACAAUGGGGGCAAGCCUGAUGCAGCGACGCCGGGUGGGUGAUGAUGGCCUUCGGGUUGUAAACACCUUUCGCUAGGGACGAAGCGCAAUUGACGGUACCUGGAGAAGAAGCACCGGCUAACUACGUG
This 465-nucleotide ribosomal RNA is filed under the name uncultured bacterium. Its description in RNAcentral is "partial 16S ribosomal RNA". It matches the Rfam family "Bacterial small subunit ribosomal RNA", at positions 28 to 507 of the family's 1533-position model. The record is from RNAcentral.